UGCCAGCCGCCGCGGUAAUACGGAGGGUGCAAACGUGUUUCGGAAUUACUGGGCGUAAAGCGCGCGUAGGCGGCUUUUUAAGUCAGAUGUGAAAGUCCACGGCUCAACCGUGGAAGUGCAUUUGAAACUGGGAGGCUUGAGUAUUGGAGGGGGUGGUGGAAUUCCCGGUGUAGAGGUGAAAUUCGUAGAUAUCGGGAGGAAUACCGGUGGCGAAGGCGACCACCUGGCCAAAUACGGAAGCGGAGGUGAGAAAGCGUGGGGCGCAAACAGGAUUAGAUC
This 279-nucleotide ribosomal RNA is filed under the name uncultured bacterium. RNAcentral's name for it is "partial 16S ribosomal RNA". It matches the Rfam family "Bacterial small subunit ribosomal RNA", at positions 506 to 784 of the family's 1533-position model. The record is from RNAcentral.